CCUUAGAGCAAGCUUGUGCAACCCACAGCCUGCAGGCCACAUGUGACCCAGGACAGCUCUGAAUGUGGCCCAACAUAAAUUCAUAAACUUCCUUAAAACAUUAUAAAAAAUUUUUAUUUGCAAUUAUUUUUUAAA
Sapajus apella (tufted capuchin) is the source of this 135-nucleotide long non-coding RNA. RefSeq lists it as uncharacterized. The record is from RefSeq and is a predicted model, not a curated record. The transcript has 3 exons. Lineage: Eukaryota; Metazoa; Chordata; Mammalia; Primates; Cebidae.